Molecule: ribosomal RNA, 250 nt
Filed under: uncultured bacterium
Lineage: Bacteria
Description: partial 16S ribosomal RNA
Rfam family: Bacterial small subunit ribosomal RNA
Source: RNAcentral
UACGUAGGGGGCAAGCGUUAUCCGGAUUUACUGGGUGUAAAGGGAGCGUAGACGGUGUGGUAAGUCAGGUGUGAAAGCCCGGGGCUCAACCCCGGGAUUGCACUUGAAACUAUCAUGCUAGAGUGCAGGAGAGGUAAGUGGAAUUCCUAGUGUAGCGGUGAAAUGCGUAGAUAUUAGGAGGAACACCAGUGGCGAAGGCGACUUACUGGACUGUAACUGACGCUGAGUCACGAAAGCUAGGGGAGCAAAC